This 375-nucleotide ribosomal RNA is filed under the name uncultured bacterium. RNAcentral describes it as "bacterial SSU rRNA". It matches the Rfam family "Bacterial small subunit ribosomal RNA", at positions 524 to 898 of the family's 1533-position model. The record is from RNAcentral.
GACGAACCGUGCGAACGUUAUUCGGAAUCACUGGGCUUAAAGGGCGCGUAGGCGGGCGGCUUUGUCAGGGGUGAAAUCUUCCGGCCCAACCGGAAGACUGCCUCUGAGACGGGCCGUCUCGAGGGAGGUAGGGGCAUGCGGAACUUCCGGUGGUGCGGUGAAAUGCGUAGAUAUCGGAAGGAACGCCGGUGGCGAAAGCGGCGUGCUGGACCUCUUCUGACGCUGAGGCGCGAAAGCCAGGGGAGCAAACGGGAUUAGAUACCCCGGUAGUCCUGGCCCUAAACGAUGGGUACUAGAUUGUGGACUGGACAUGGGUUCACAGUCGAAGCAAAAGUGUUAAGUACCCCGCCUGGGGAGUAUGGUCGCAAGGCUGAA